Long non-coding RNA from Cyanistes caeruleus (blue tit), 381 nucleotides. RefSeq lists it as uncharacterized. Lineage: Eukaryota; Metazoa; Chordata; Aves; Passeriformes; Paridae. The record is from RefSeq and is a predicted model, not a curated record.
UGCUGGUCUCAGCUGUGGCCUGUCAGAUACUUGCAUAGUCAUCCUGAUUUUCGGUCAUCCUUGGUUGCCACCCUUGAGGCUUUCUUGCUUGUUUCACCCUGGGAACUGUGAGAUGGAGCCCUGGAAGUCCCUCUGUAAAGACUUCUGUUAUUGAAAAACGAUGGUUUCCAUUUGGAUCUCUCAGUAACUGUUCUGGGCAAGCUGAAGCAGGCAGCAGUUUAGCCUGGUAAUUCAACGACUUCUCUGGGCAGCCUGCUUCAGUGAUGGAUAACCUGUUAGGUGAAGUCGUCAUAAUAUCCAAUCUAAACCUCUCCUGACAUAACCGAAGGCCAGCUUGUCUUGUUUUCAUCCUUUGUUCCCCACAGCAAUAAUUAAAGGAGA